AGCCAGUGUGGCUUAGUGGUUAAAGUGUCAGAUUAGGGCCUGGGAAAGACCAGGGUUCAAAUCCUUACUCGGCCA
Non-coding RNA from Podarcis lilfordi (Lilford's wall lizard), 75 nucleotides. NCBI's taxonomy places the organism in Eukaryota, Metazoa, Chordata, Lepidosauria, Squamata, Lacertidae. The record is from the annotation of a GenBank genome assembly.